GUUCUGCGUAGUUGUAAUGGAUCCCACGGCACUUCUAGGCAAGUCCCGCCCUACGAAGCAGCCUGAUUGGUUGGUGUUAGGCAUUGAACCUG
This is a long non-coding RNA of Etheostoma cragini (Arkansas darter), 92 nucleotides long. RefSeq lists it as uncharacterized. The record is from RefSeq and is a predicted model, not a curated record. Lineage: Eukaryota; Metazoa; Chordata; Actinopteri; Perciformes; Percidae. The transcript has 3 exons.